GGAAGUGAUGAUGUAAUUUGCGUCAUAGGGUGUGGUCAGUGACGGUUGCCUGCCGUCGUAUACUACUACAUUUUUAUGAAGACACUAUAUACAUACUGAUCC
Molecule: small nucleolar RNA, 102 nt
Organism: Exaiptasia diaphana
Lineage: Eukaryota; Metazoa; Cnidaria; Anthozoa; Actiniaria; Aiptasiidae
Product: small nucleolar RNA SNORD16
Exons: 1
Source: RefSeq, a predicted model, not a curated record